AUAUCACUAAGCGGAGGAAAAGAAAUUAACUAAGAUUGCCUCAGUAACGGCGAGUGAAGCGGCAAAAGCCCAAACUGGAAAUCCCCGUACUCUGUGCGGUGAAUUGUAAUCUAGAGGACUUAAUCUCAACUGGGCGCGACGCAGAACUUCCCAGGAAUGGGAGGCCAGAGAGGGUGACAGCCCCGUAUGUGGUGUCGCUCCCUAACGAGAUGGGUUCCAGGAGUCGGGUUGUUUUGAAUUGCAGCCCUAAUACGGGGGAUAGACUUCCUCCAAGGCUAAAUAUUUACGGGAGACCGAUAGCGCACAAGUA
RNAcentral lists this ribosomal RNA (310 nucleotides) under uncultured eukaryote. RNAcentral describes it as "partial large subunit ribosomal RNA". It matches the Rfam family "Eukaryotic large subunit ribosomal RNA", at positions 40 to 350 of the family's 3401-position model. The record is from RNAcentral.